This 965-nucleotide ribosomal RNA is filed under the name Curtobacterium sp. RNAcentral's name for it is "bacterial SSU rRNA". It matches the Rfam family "Bacterial small subunit ribosomal RNA", at positions 30 to 1007 of the family's 1533-position model. Lineage: Bacteria; Bacillati; Actinomycetota; Actinomycetes; Micrococcales; Microbacteriaceae. The record is from RNAcentral.
GGAAUGCGGGCGUGCUUACACAUGCAGUCGAACGAUGAUCAGGAGCUUGCUCCUGUGAUUAGUGGCGAACGGGUGAGUAACACGUGAGUAACCUGCCCCUGACUCUGGGAUAAGCGUUGGAAACGACGUCUAAUACUGGAUACGACUGCCGGCCGCAUGGUCUGGUGGUGGAAAGAUUUUUUGGUUGGGGAUGGACUCGCGGCCUAUCAGCUUGUUGGUGAGGUAAUGGCUCACCAAGGCGACGACGGGUAGCCGGCCUGAGAGGGUGACCGGCCACACUGGGACUGAGACACGGCCCAGACUCCUACGGGAGGCAGCAGUGGGGAAUAUUGCACAAUGGGCGAAAGCCUGAUGCAGCAACGCCGCGUGAGGGAUGACGGCCUUCGGGUUGUAAACCUCUUUUAGUAGGGAAGAAGCGAAAGUGACGGUACCUGCAGAAAAAGCACCGGCUAACUACGUGCCAGCAGCCGCGGUAAUACGUAGGGUGCAAGCGUUGUCCGGAAUUAUUGGGCGUAAAGAGCUCGUAGGCGGUUUGUCGCGUCUGCUGUGAAAUCCCGAGGCUCAACCUCGGGCUUGCAGUGGGUACGGGCAGACUAGAGUGCGGUAGGGGAGAUUGGAAUUCCUGGUGUAGCGGUGGAAUGCGCAGAUAUCAGGAGGAACACCGAUGGCGAAGGCAGAUCUCUGGGCCGUAACUGACGCUGAGGAGCGAAAGCGUGGGGAGCGAACAGGAUUAGAUACCCUGGUAGUCCACGCCGUAAACGUUGGGCGCUAGAUGUAGGGACCUUUCCACGGUUUCUGUGUCGUAGCUAACGCAUUAAGCGCCCCGCCUGGGGAGUACGGCCGCAAGGCUAAAACUCAAAGGAAUUGACGGGGGGCCCGCACAAGCGGCGGAGCAUGCGGAUUAAUUUCGAUGCAACGCGAAGAACCCUUACCAAGGCUUGACAUACACCGGAAACGGGCCAGAG